Enhydra lutris kenyoni (northern sea otter) is the source of this 1000-nucleotide long non-coding RNA. RefSeq lists it as uncharacterized. The record is from RefSeq and is a predicted model, not a curated record. Lineage: Eukaryota; Metazoa; Chordata; Mammalia; Carnivora; Mustelidae. The transcript is spliced from 4 exons.
GAUGGAAGAAAUUAAUGAGAAGUAGGCACUCGAUAUGAUACUCACUGUGUGAGUUACCAUCCUAAGGGUCAGAAGAGUUGAGGCAAUCACUCUUCAAAGCAGGAGGCUGGCAUGUGACUUUUUGCUACCCCUGAUAAGAUCAGGGAGCCAUGUACUUCCCUGCAUCUCGGUAAGCCCAUGCAGGGCUUAGCCAGCGGCCUACUUUGUUCAAUGGUAUGUAGGCAGGAGUGACAGGGGGCCAGUCUUGUGUUUCUUCUCAAACCUUUGUACUUCUGCUGUCUACAGGUCUGUCCCUACUAGCCACAGGUCCGAGGAGAGUGAGAGCAUAUUGAGCGCCGCCCCCUGUGGCCCCAAACCCACUCAGGAGCCUGAAGCAGAACUUCCCCACAUGACCAGUAGACCCAGCAGCAGGAUAAAUAAAGAACCUCGAAGUCCUCCAUUGGAUCCCGUCCAGCCAGUGGGCAAGAGGAGGGACAGCAGAGAACGCAGAGGACUGCGUGGGAAGUUUUAAAGACCAGGUCUCAGUCUGUCCACAUUUUACUGCUCGGAACUCCGUCAUUGACCCCAUCUGCAAAGGCUUCUGGGAAAUGUGGUAUUCCUAUCUACCCAACCGAUGGAGAGUAAGAGGCAUAAAUCUCUCCCUCGUUGGACUCCGUGGCACCCCAGUCUCUGUUUUGCAUCAGACACUGCUCAGCCCCUGGGGGGCGACUCUCUGGAGUUUGGGACCCACCCCUCCCAUGCCACCACCCCCAGAAAGGAGCUGACUGCAGAAAGAUUCACUCCCUAGCAACGUUUACUGUGCCUUGGGUGCAUGGUACCAAGGGCCCCAUCACCCUCGGUGUUCAAGGGGACUCAUCCUGGAGGAGCAAAGCCCACGGUGGCCUGAUGCUGCCCUUGUGACAUUUGUCCCUCUGCAGGUUCAAGCCUUCAAAGCACAGGGAAGCUGAGCGGCCCCUCUGAGGUCACACAGUCCACUGGAGGCCAAGGUGGGUGGAGAGCC